Molecule: long non-coding RNA, 215 nt
Organism: Ixodes scapularis (black-legged tick)
Lineage: Eukaryota; Metazoa; Arthropoda; Arachnida; Ixodida; Ixodidae
Exons: 3
Source: RefSeq, a predicted model, not a curated record
GCUAAGAAAAACACCCUGUAUACAUUUUCCCCCAGUGUGUACUGCAGCUUGCAAUAUGAAGAUACAAGCACAGGUUCAGCAAGCAGCCAGCUGCCACAAGCACCACUGGCAGUUGCCUCCAACUGCAGGCCAUGGCUUCGACGAGUCACCUGCUCAUGACUCCUCCCUGGAUAUGAUGCCUCCAUCACCACCUGAAGACCAAGCAGCUGAUGGGG